GACUACACGAAGCCGGAAUCGCAGUAAUCGCGAAUCAGAGUGUCGCGGUGAAUACGUUCCCGGGUCUUGUACACACCGCCCGUCACACCAUGGGAGUCGGAAAUGCCCGAAGUCAGUGACCCAACCGCAAGGAGGGAGCUGCCGAAGGCAGGUCGGAUGACUGGGGUGAAGUCGUAACAAGGUAAC
Molecule: ribosomal RNA, 186 nt
Filed under: uncultured bacterium
Lineage: Bacteria
Description: partial 16S ribosomal RNA
Rfam family: Bacterial small subunit ribosomal RNA
Source: RNAcentral